CCCAGCUGUAGGCAGCUGCCUAAGUUACCUUAUACCUAGGCAAGUGUUACAGUGCUGGGAGAAAAGCAGCCAAUAGCUGGUGGGCAUCCUGGGCCUGGUUAAUGCCAAAUUUGUGUUAACUAUACCAGUGCACAUAAA
Ochotona princeps (American pika) is the source of this 138-nucleotide small nucleolar RNA. Its record names the gene SNORA74. It matches the Rfam family "Small nucleolar RNA SNORA74". Rfam says of the family: U19 belongs to the H/ACA class of snoRNAs. snoRNAs bind a number of proteins (including dyskerin, Gar1p and Nop10p in the case of the H/ACA class) to form snoRNP complexes. The record is from Ensembl. NCBI's taxonomy places the organism in Eukaryota, Metazoa, Chordata, Mammalia, Lagomorpha, Ochotonidae.